AAACUUUCAACAACGGAUCUCUAGGCUCUUGCAUCGAUGAAGAACGCAGUGAAAUGCGAUAAGUAAUGUGAAUUGCAGAAUCUCGUGAAUCAUCAAAUCUUUGAACGCACAUUGCGCCCUAUGGUAUUCCGUAGGGCAUGCCUGUCUGAGCGUCA
Molecule: ribosomal RNA, 155 nt
Filed under: Terfezia aff. olbiensis TLO-3
Lineage: Eukaryota; Fungi; Ascomycota; Pezizomycetes; Pezizales; Pezizaceae
Description: 5.8S ribosomal RNA
Rfam family: 5.8S ribosomal RNA
About the family: 5.8S ribosomal RNA (5.8S rRNA) is a component of the large subunit of the eukaryotic ribosome. It is transcribed by RNA polymerase I as part of the 45S precursor that also contains 18S and 28S rRNA. Functionally, it is thought that 5.8S rRNA may be involved in ribosome translocation.
Source: RNAcentral